AUCUCUUGCAAAUUGGAACCUUGGGGAUAAUCCACUGAUUACACCUGCCUCAUCCAAUCUGAUGGGAAGAUUGCAUGGGAAGAUUGCACGGUGGAGGGGCAUCUGUGUGGUAAUAAUAACUGCAUAAGCAUCAUAUCGUGCAAACCUCACAAUAGGUAUAAAAGGACCAUAGCACUGUCACUCACCUGUGCUUUUGCUAGGAAGAUCUGACCCUGUCCUUGACUGUGGCCUGGCUCAUG
Molecule: long non-coding RNA, 239 nt
Organism: Prionailurus viverrinus (fishing cat)
Lineage: Eukaryota; Metazoa; Chordata; Mammalia; Carnivora; Felidae
Exons: 3
Source: RefSeq, a predicted model, not a curated record